RNAcentral lists this long non-coding RNA (209 nucleotides) under Capsicum annuum. RNAcentral's name for it is "long non-coding RNA (CANN_LNC011497)". Lineage: Eukaryota; Viridiplantae; Streptophyta; Magnoliopsida; Solanales; Solanaceae. The record is from RNAcentral.
GAAAGAGAGAACCAGAAAGGAAAAAAAAAAGGAGAAAACUGGAAAAGGCACAAAAAGAAGAAAAAACACAAAGGGAAGACACACAAAUACACGUACAAAUUGAAAAAAAUUGAAAAAAAAAAUCGAAUAGAAAAUCCAACUGAAGGAAAAGAAAGGAAAAGAGUUCGGGUUUAGGGUUUGGGGUUUUCGGUGAUAUCGUUCAUAAUUAG